This 336-nucleotide unclassified non-coding RNA is filed under the name soil metagenome. RNAcentral describes it as "partial contains 5.8S ribosomal RNA, internal transcribed spacer 2, and large subunit ribosomal RNA". The stretch from base 1 to 120 matches the Rfam family "5.8S ribosomal RNA", at positions 35 to 154 of the family's 154-position model. The record is from RNAcentral.
GAUGAAGAACGCAGCGAAAUGCGAUAAGUAAUGCGAAUUGCAGAAUUCAGUGAAUCAUCGAAUCUUUGAACGCACAUUGCGCCCGCCAGUAUUCUGGCGGGCAUGCCUGUUCGAGCGUCAUUUCAACCAUCAAGCCCCCGGCUUGUGUUGGGGACCUGCGGCUGCCGCAGGCCCUGAAAAGCAGUGGCGGGCUCGCUGUCACACCGAGCGUAGUAGAUUUUAUCUCGCUCAGGGCGUGCUGCGGGUUCCGGCCGUUAAACCACCUUCAUAACCCAAGGUUGACCUCGGAUCAGGUAGGAAGACCCGCUGAACUUAAGCAUAUCAAUAAGCGGAGGA